Long non-coding RNA from Oreochromis niloticus (Nile tilapia), 4771 nucleotides. The record is from Ensembl. Lineage: Eukaryota; Metazoa; Chordata; Actinopteri; Cichliformes; Cichlidae.
CAUCCAACGACGUGUCUGCGGAUGAAAUAAGACGCACAGCCCGCCCGGACAAACUGUAAUCACCGAAAGAGUCAACUUUGCUUGAACUCAACUCUGACAUCUGCUCGGCAUGACACCUCACAGGGAGACGCCAUGUUGUUUAUACGGAGUUUAUUCUCGUCUUCUUCCGGUUGACGUUCAGGCUCUUUCACGCUGCAGCGCCACCUCAGGUCAAAACGUCUUGAAAACAAGUUUUAACAAAGUCCUGGAGAAGUGCCCAAUGCUGGAGGACCUCCUGCUUUACCCCUGGCUCAGAUAAACUCCUCUCUGACACAAACACACACGCAUACUGAAUUCACAUCUUGCCAUACAAAUGUGAUACAGUAACCAACUUUCUUUCUUUCAGAAAAAAGAAAUUGGGAGAUUCAAAAAUUUCCUCACAGUAAUGUUUGCAUCAGUCUAUCAGAUGAAUCCCCUCCAAGUCCAAUAUUUACAUCAGUUAAAGUGAUAAUGCUUGGUGUCUACUUUCAGCCACCGCAGUAGAAUGCCAGGAAUGAAUCUCAUUGAAAUUGUAGUUGCAUUUGCUAUUUAAUUUAAUUGUCAUGGAUGAUACACAGACAACCCAACAGCAAACAGAGGAAAACAAUGGGCUUAAUACACAGAGGGAUAAAUGAGGGAAUAAGACACAGGAUGAGAGCACAGCUGCCAGAAAUCACAAACAACAAGACCAUGGGGAAGGAAAACUGAAAACACUAACAUAGUCUAAGGAGCUUAGAAAGAAAACGUCUGGACUUCUUUAAGUUGCUUGAAGACGUUCAAGCAAAGUUUAAGUUCUUUUCAUCCGAGAAGGUGAAACAUCUUCAAGCAACUUCAAGUCCAGACGCUUUCUUUCCAAACUCCUUAGACUACGAUGACCUAGAUGACUGAGAACCUUCACAGACAUGAAAACACUAACAUAGCACACAAGACUAUCAAAGUAAACAGCAAACAAGAGACUUUUACAAAGACACAGAGUUGACACAGAGACAUGACUGACUGGGGAGAAAUUGGGGAACAUGGAAAGAAGAAUGACUAGACAUGACACGUGGGACACAGGGGCAAGGCAAAGUAACAGAAACCUAAAGCCUAAGAAUAUAACACAAGAAGAAAACAAUAAAGAGAACCAAAAACAUACAUAAGAAUAAUCAAUGAAUAUAAAUGAACAAACACAAAACACUGGGUCACAGACUCAGUACCAUGACAGUUAAAUGUACAAUAAUAAAUACUUUAAUCAGAUGACAAUGUAGCUGACACUGUGUUUAUAGUGUGUGGUCAACCACAAAUCUUCAUACUGUCAUCCAUACAUGAGGUCUUUAUACAAACGAUGAAAGAUAAUGAAAGAAACUGUUUAAUUGAUAUGAAAUGAUUGAAUUAUAUGAAAUAUUAUGGCUUUGUCUGCCAGAGUGUUUUUCUGUAAACUACUUUGAACUACUGGCAGUCAGUGAAGUCACUGAAAGGCAAGAUUCUAUGUUGUGUUGCCGUAGUUUCCAGAGUUUACUUAUAAAGCUCACUUACAGAAUUCAGUUAGAAAAGUCAAGCAUUUGAAGGGCGCACAUUUGAAGGAAUAUUAACUCAAUAUUAACUCAUUACGGUUUACAUUUUCGAGUUUAAAAGUUCUCCGAAAUUACAAUGAAAAAGGAAACAAGAAAAAUUACCACUCCAGCCGAUAAGAAAGAUUCAGGAGAUCAAGGUAAGUAAAAUAAUAAAAUCAAAUCCUGGUAAAAUCCAAAUCCUAGAAAUGUUGACACUGUGUGAAUCAUUUUUAGAGCAAUUGAAUCAUAUGUUUGAUUGAAAUAGCUUUAAUACAAGAUGUCUAAUCAAAGAAAGGUUAGCGGUCUUUUGGUAAAAUAAUGUAAUAAGUUUAUUCUUGGACUCAACAGUAAAAACAGACCAACAAGUGUCAUCAAGAUCUAAGACUUAGUAAACCUAGUAUCAAUUCGCACUGGUCAGUUUUUUUAUCCCAAGAAUAACUUGUGAUAAUUUAAGCAAAAGCAAUUUCAAAUUCUUGCCAAACUGCUUCCAGUCCUGAUGUCGGGGACUCUUUUUCACCACUGUGUUGUUGUCGUUUAUAGAUUGUAAGAGCAGGACUGCUAAAAGAAAGGCCAGUCCUGAAAAGAAGACCCCAAUAAAAAGGAGGAGGGUCGCUGAGCAGCUGGUCCUUCCACCAGCUCAGAUGUGGUCAAAGGAGUGAAGCGCAAGGUUGUGCAAGAUGAAGAGGGCACAACAAAGAAAGCAAAGAAGGCUAAACUUCUCGACCAUAUGAGCGGUGACAAGGAGCAAGCAUCCUCCUUGUUGGACUCUGGUAAAGGUAGGCUAAUUAGUUGAAUAAGGGGGUAGAUUAAGUGUGGUUGCUAGGUUUAAGAUAUUAGUGUUUAGUGUUUGUGUCUAUCAUCCAGUGAGCUGAUGUGCUUUUGGUGUUUUCCACAUCUCCAGACUUGAAUAACAACAGGUGUGCGCAAAAAAUGGCAAAAGAAAGGCCGCGGAGACAACAGAGAGUCACCCAAGAAAAAAAAAAAGGAAUGUGGACCAGGACAAAAAAUCAGUGGCAGACCAAAAACGUAAGUAGCAAGCAGCUUGGGUUUUAUAUUCAGGGGAAGGGCAAAAGGAACAUUUAGGCUACAGAGGAGAGUAAUUUGUGUCACAGCUGUAAUAAAACAAGAUUUGUUGUUUUGUCUGUUCAGGUGAAUUCCAAGCCAGAUAUGUGGAGGAGCACCAGCUCGGAGAAGGAGGCUGCGGAGCAGUGUUUGCUGGCUACCGGAUAGAAGAUCGUUUCCAGUAAGUGUUCAGAUGAUGGUAGUAAGACAGGCAGUAACGCAGAUAAUGGAUAAUAUCGUAAACUGAGACGUCUGCUGUGUUUCCACCUUUCAUUAUGUCAUACUGAGGAAAUGCUCACCAAUGCUCUGUGUCUUCUAGGUUGCCAUCAAACACAUUCCCAAAAAUAAAGUCUACUGCAAAGUGGCGGUAAGCGUCCAACACUUGAAUCAGUUUUACAUUACUGGAUUGAAUGCGGCGUUCCUCAUCAUCCACUUUGUUGUAAUAUUUCAGGAUGAAAGCGGGAAGAAGCUCUCAGUGGAAGUGGCCAUUAUGGUUAAACUUGCAGGUGAAGCAGAAGGGUCAGUGGGAAUAUCUGCACCUGUGUCCUUGCUGGAGUGGUUCGACCUUGGCAAAGAGCUGAUCCUGGUGCUGGAGAGACCUGUCCCGCUGUGGACCUGCAAAAAUACAAAGCAGAAAAUGGAAGAACUUUAACAGAGGACAAGGCCAAGGUAGGUUGACUGGAAGAACCUUAGACUGUACAGCAUUCAAUCAAGGCAGAAAAGCAUGAACUCAUUAUUGUUUUUCAUCUUUUCCAGGUCAUUCUGAAGCAACUUGAUGCUGUAAAGGAACUUGAGGAUAAACACAUCUUUCAUCGGGACAUCAAGGGACAAAACAUUCUGAUUGAGACCGGCUCAGAUGUGCCUCGUGUUCGCAUCAUUGACUUUGGACUGAGCUGCUUUGUUAAACAGCGAUCUCUGUAUCGCAUCUUCUAUGGUAACAUAUUCUGCUCCUGCUUUUCACAGAUGUAACAAUUUGUGUCUUUUGUUUUAGAAGAAAUUGCAAUUGUGUCUGUUUGUUAGGCACUCCUCUUCACAUCCCUCCCGAGUGGUACAUUAGGAGCUGCUACAGGUGUGGACCCACCACGGUGUGGCAAAUGGGAGUGGUGUUGUAUGAAGCGCUCAUGCACGAUACUUUAGUACCGCGAGGUUCCUCACAAAGAAACUGAGCAUCAAAAAGCGUCUGUCCACAGGUAAGAAAACUUCACACUUCCAGAUUCACUGAUGCCUUGGAUCACUAGAACUAUCAUCUUCAUCUUUUGAUCUUUUCUUUCUUUCAAGAAUGCCGGAAUUUCUUGGACGCAUGUUUAGCUAUAGUCCCGGAGAAGCGCCCAACACUGGAGGAGCUCCAGCUUCACCCCUGGCUAAGAUAACACACACAAACACACAAUUCACACCUUAUCAUAUAAGUAUGAUACAUUGUAGUAAUUCCUUUCUUUUUUCUGUUGGACAGGAAUAGAUAGAAUGGGUCAAUCUUAAAAAAUAAAUAAAUAAAAAUUUAGCUUUUUUGGAGUUCUUGUAACCCCCCAGCCAUCCCAGGAAAGGGAUCUCUCUUUGAAUGGGCUUUCCCGAGGUUUCUUCCCAUCGAUCUGGCCCCCUGGGAGUUUUUCCUCGUCUUCAUAGAGAGCUUGGGCUGGGUCAGGAGCUCCAUCAAAACGUCUUUAUUUGAUGACUUUAAAAUAAAGAUGUGUUUUACUUAAAGUAAAAUUUGAUCAAAAUAAAACUUGUUAAUUCAUCUUUGCUGAGGAUUCUCCUUCAUUACUAUUUUGUUUUGUUUUUUUGUUUUGUUUGUUUUACCCAUGGUGCAUUUUGACAAAUAAGAAACUGAAUCAGGUUAAAGUGUGCACAAAGACAGUCACACUGCAAAUGAUCUGAAGACUUGCAUCUGUUGCUCUAACCCCCAACUAGUUUAGACAGAUUUCCUGGUUCUACCAGAGGUUUUUCCUUCAAGAAGGGAGUUUUUCCUUCCCACUGUUGCUGAGUGUUUGCUCAUAGUGGGUUGUAAAAGCAUAAAAGUUAAUAAGAGGCAUUCAUAGCAGAGUUAUCACAGCGGGAACUAUAUAGCUUAAAUGUACAAUUUCUACAGGACGAAUUAUAACUUCAUUAUGUAAAAGCUCCUGUGGAUAAUUCUCCUAUUUGUAACUUUACACAAGAGAAAGUUU